This 70-nucleotide transfer RNA is filed under the name Pericapritermes sp. 4 SH-2021a. RNAcentral's name for it is "tRNA-Phe". It matches the Rfam family "tRNA". Rfam says of the family: Transfer RNA (tRNA) molecules are approximately 80 nucleotides in length. The record is from RNAcentral. Lineage: Eukaryota; Metazoa; Arthropoda; Insecta; Blattodea; Termitidae.
ACUUAAAUAGCUUAAUAUUUAGAGCGCAACACUGAAGAUGUUGAUGAGGCAUAAUUAAUGCCUUUGAGUA